UACGUAGGGUGCGAGCGUUAAUCGGAAUUACUGGGCGUAAAGCGUGCGCAGGCGGUUUUGUAAGACAGAUGUGAAAUCCCCGGGCUUAACCUGGGAACUGCGUUUGUGACUGCAAGGCUAGAGUACGGCAGAGGGGGGUGGAAUUCCACGUGUAGCAGUGAAAUGCGUAGAGAUGUGGAGGAACACCGAUGGCGAAGGCAGCCCCCUGGGCCUGUACUGACGCUCAUGCACGAAAGCGUGGGGAGCAAACAGGAUUAGAUACCCUGGUAGUCCACGCCCUAAACGAUGUCGACUAGUCGUUCGGAGCAGCAAUGCACUGAGUGACGCAGCUAACGCGUGAAGUCGACCGCCUGGGGAGUACGGCCGCAAGGUUAAA
This 376-nucleotide ribosomal RNA is filed under the name uncultured bacterium. RNAcentral's name for it is "bacterial SSU rRNA". It matches the Rfam family "Bacterial small subunit ribosomal RNA", at positions 524 to 898 of the family's 1533-position model. The record is from RNAcentral.